Molecule: ribosomal RNA, 347 nt
Filed under: uncultured bacterium
Lineage: Bacteria
Description: bacterial SSU rRNA
Rfam family: Bacterial small subunit ribosomal RNA
Source: RNAcentral
CGGGCUAACAUCAGAUGAUAUAUAAUCACGACAUCGUGGAAAUAUCAAAUCUUCGGGAGCCUUGGGAUGAGCCUGCGUCCGAUUAGGUAGUUGGCGGAGUAAUAGCCCACCAAGCCUACGAUCAGUAGCUGGUCUGAGAGGAUGAUCAGCCACACUGGAACUGAGACACGGUCCAGACUCCUACGGGAGGCAGCAGUAAGGAAUAUUGCUCAAUGGGGGGAAACCCUGAAGCAGCAACGCCGCGUGAAGGAUGAAAUACUUUUGUAUGUAAACUUCUGUAAGAUGGGAAAAUAUUCUCCUCGGGAGAAUUGAUUGUACCAUCAGAGUAAGCCCCGGCUAACUACGUG